AAAAAAAAAAAAAAAAAAAAAAAAAAAGGUGGGGGAGAAUAAACAUAGAAAAGGGCCACAGGGAGAAAGUGAGAGGGAUAACUUUCAGAUCUCUGUCUGCAAAGAUGCUGAGUUUCUUUUUUUUCCUGGUCCCUUCUUAUCAGCAGCUUUAUCACACAUUCAGAGCUUUACUUUUUAGAAACCUUCUUGCUUCACUUGCUUCUUGCUAAAUUUAUUCAUGUCCAGAACUAUUUGUUUUAGGGCUAAUGCUAUUGUUCAGAACAAAUAGCUUGCUCUGCCUUACUCCCCCUCCCCUUUUCCACCACCUGUGCACACAAAAUAUUACCCCAAAAUAAAGAAACACAUCUCUGGCUCUCAGCCACAGAGGGAGAAAUCAGCAUUCAGGGUGACAGAGUGAUUGUUACCCACAAACUCAUUUCAUAAUCGAUUUAAGGCACCUCAAAAAUUCUCUCUGUGGUCCCACUGGGAUUAAAAUGUUGCUGCAAGCAAUUUUUCUUACAGCGUGUUUCCUCUGUCCUGCAGCUGCCACUGAACAUGUAGAGAGAUGUUGGCAAUGUUUGGAGAUAAACAUCUUUGCUGUCUCCAGUUAUUUUGAUUAAAAGGCAUGACAGAAUUAAACAGCCUUUGAAGUCAGCAGGAUAGUUACAAAGUCAGAAGACUCAAAAUCUUUUCUGUGAAUUUUGGUGUGAUUAUUUCAGUCAUGCUCUGGCUGGUGGGGCUUUGGAGCAGGACUCAUCCCUGCUGCCAGCCCUUGGUGGGAUGGUCCCUGGUGCUGGCUCCUGCCUGUGGGUUGCAUUGCUGUCAUUGCCCUGCACUGAAAUCCUCCAGAGAAAGGAGGGGAACAUCCCUCUUUCACCAUAAACACAUUUCACUCAGACAAACACUGUGGUCUCUGCCUAACAGAUGCCUGGCAAUGGACUGUCUGAUUAGGCAACAGCUUUUUUUCACCUCUGUAUCUCUGGGGAGCACACAGACCCCCUGCCUCCCACCACACCCCUGACUUACCGUGUCCACACUGCACUUUCUGCACCUAUGGACCACAUGCCCUGCUUGAAACUCUCUCUCAAAGCUAAUUCACCACAGCAAGGUCACCCAUCCAGAGUCGGUGCAGAGCACCAAGGCCAGGAUGCUGCAGAGUCACUCAGAGGCACAGGAGGUCAUGAGUGAAUAUCACAGCACUUAGACACAUCUUUAGCACCUCCAGACUUAGACAAACCCCAUUUAUUGAUCUUCCUUAUCAAGUAAACCGUGUCUCUGCUGAAUUGCAGCAUGUGCAAUUCAAGGAGAACAGUCUCUUACCAAGGAAGCUCCAAGAUGAUUUAAAGCACAGCCCAGUGGGAAUAAACAAACUCCAAUUCUAACUGGGCAGCAGUUCCCUAACUAAAAUACUGAAUUCAGUGUACAGCUGCCCUUCAGCUCUUCUGCUAAUGGCACCUUUACAUCACUGCUGUGUCCAGCCGUAGCACACGUGUUCCCAUGUGCAGUUCAGCAACCUCAUUGCCAUUGCUGCUGUUAAUUGCAGGGCAGUGAUGGGCAGUGAGCAAGAUGAGGAGCUCCCCUCUGCUGGGCACUACAAAAACUGUCCAGAAGGCAACUUCUGCCCCAAGGAGUGGGAUCAGACAGACAGCAGCUGCAUGAAGCGAAGCAGUCAAAUCUCUGUUGCCCAGGCAGAGGGAGGGAGGGAGGGAGGGAGGGGUUCUCACAGAAGACAAACAGGGAUAAUUCUAUGUAUUUUGCACCUGAGGCUUGGCAGAGGCUGUUAGCUUAGGCUUGGUGCCAGGCAAACAAGGCUUUUCUGCCUCUCUGCCUGCACUGAGAGGCCUCACUCAGGCUCUGCAGCAGGACAGCUGUUCUGGAUGGAGCUGGGCUGCAGGAGCCCACUCAGGUGUCCCUGGGCUCACAGCAGAGUCAAUCUGCUGAGCAGAUCAGCCCCCACAGCUACUGGGGAACAGGCACAUUUGUUAUCCUCUUUCAACAGACGUGGGGGAAGGAGAUACUAACAAUGAUGGGACUCCAGAAAAUUUGUCUGGGAUGACCCAGAUAUCUUUGACCAUGUCUUUAACAAUGAGACCAUCUUUUGGGGCCCCUUUCACAUCCUCUGGUGCAGGAGGAUAGCCUAGCUGGUUCCUGUAAUUCACGUUUGAGUUGCAUACCCUGAAGAAGGAUGAACCUGUGGUGGCAAGGCACGAGCUUUGCUUCAGUUCUGGACAAAAAAAAAUCAAGAUUCAUUUCAAUGCCCUGGUAUUCAGAUAUAUCAGAUAAAAAACAAGUUAGUUUUACCAUAACUAAUAAAAAGGCAGUGCUUUAAACAAAUCAAACUGUGCUGAAGAAUAUGGCAGCAAUCUCAUACAGAUCUGCAAUGAAUGUCCUGUCCAGUGAAGCCAAACUGGUUCCUGUUUGCACAGAAACUCAUCUUUGGGCUCAGCCCCACAUACCCAGUCUGCACCACCUUGGCUAAAAGAACUGCUUUUGUGUCUUCCCCCAAAGUCAGUGUUUGUUUAGACUGACCACGACUGAGUCUCCAUAAGCUGUGGAUUCAACCCGUGCAGGUCAUCAAAGAGCCUGCCCUGUGCCUCAGCUCUGCUUGGGUGUUACUGGAGAUAAAGCACAUGAUUAUUAUACACAUUCCUUAACAAGCACAUGGGUUGAAAGACCAGCAAGGAGCAUGAGGAAUCAAAUGAUGCAGCAGAGCCUUUGGUCAGGUCAUUGCAGAGGAACAUCCUGAUUUCUGCACUGGAAGGUCCCUUUGGGCCAUGGCUGGCCUGGGAAUGGUCCCACAAACACACACACUCCAGGGACAGGGGUGAUCUCUGCCCCCAGGGGACUUCCAGUCUGCAUGAAGAGACCUUUGAACCAUGAAGCCAAAGCCCUCCAGCCUCUGUUUGGAGAGCAUCUCUUGCUGUGUUAACCCUCCAGAAGCCCCAGCUGGAGAGGAGCAUUCAGCACCUGAAGCAUCCCACUCAGGUCUUGCUGUGAGCAGAAAUUCUCUUUUUCUUUUUGCUGCCACCAUUUUAUUUCCAGGGAAAAUCAAAUGUUUAAGACUCUUUCCCACACACAGAGCAUCCCUCCCAGGAGCACAGCAAGUGCCAUGAGCCUGAACUUGUUGGAACUGGAACAGAUUUAAGUAAUAAAAGAGCUUAUCCAAAGCUGCUUUAAUCUCAGCUCUGGUGCACAUUUCUGGAGACCUUUCAGUCCUUCCCAGGCUGACUGGAAAUGACUGCAAGAGAAAGAGUCAGGGAAACCAAGUUUGCUGCCCUUUGGCUUGCUCCUUUUCUUCUUUCUCCUUCCAAAGCACAGUUAUCUCCCGAAUGGAGCAAACCAGGAACUGGCAAAGGAUGUAAAUCACCCUUCCAGAAAAGCCAUAUUGCAAAUCCAGCUUGGCUGCCAGCCAGGAUGUGAGAAUGAGGAAAUGCUGGAGCUGGGCUGUCCCUGCUGCUGUCCUUCAGCCCGUUCACCUGCAGGCACACGGGACAGGGAUCAGGCUGUGCACCCUGUGCUGGGCUGGGGAGCCGGGACAGGGACCUGCAGCAGGGGACUGGGGACACACCUGCUGUGCCCCCAAGCACUGCUGGGACCCCACAACCUGCAGGGCUGCUCCAGGAGCUGCCACAUGUCCCCCUGCAACUGCUCUCCACCCUGAUGCACUUUGCAUUCACAGGUCCUCCUCCCUCCUCCUGCCCCAGAGCAGCUCUUUAUCUGAUUACCUCAUUUAUCAGGUAUUUAUCUGCUAAAACCACUUCCACAAGCUCCUGCAGAGCCCUGCUUUCUCUCCUCUUUAUCUCUCAAUCCAGUUAACAUUAUCCCUUUCCUCUUUUACCCCCAAAGGACAUGGCAGAUCAUUUGCCUUCUCUUCUGCAGACAGACGUUCUGUAUUUGAAGAACAGGUUUCACAUCUCCCUUCGGUUUUCCCUGCACAAGAGAAACCCAACUCUUUUAUCAGAGCUGUUAUUUACCGAAUUUACAACUCAGCCUCUGUUCCUUCCUCUCACUUUUCUUGGAGGAUGCCCAGAGCUGCAUUUUCCAACUGAGCCCCUAACAGGCACCACCUGGAGCAGAAUGCACCACUUCCCCAAUGCAGCCUUUCUCUUUCUCCAUCCCAAGAAGACUGUUUGCUUUGGCACAACUGUGUGCCCCUGUUGACUCAUGGGGCACAGUGUCCCUGUCCUCUGGCUCCCUGUGCCACUGUCUGGCUGGUCACUCACCUGCUGUCCAGGCGGUCAGUCAGUCCUGCCACACAGGGCAGGACAUGUGCCCUGGCUUUUUAAACCAGCUCUCCAGCUCGUCACAAUCUUCAACUCCUAGUCUCUUCUCUAAAAUGUUUCCAGUCCCUCGUAGCUCAGUGUCACCUACAAAUUCAGUAUGUGCCUCCCUACUCCAUCACACACUAAUGAAAACAUGGGCUGACAGGCUCUGACCCUCCCAACUCCAAACACCCUCAGGUUUAUACACUGAAAAAUACUGAGAAUGUUGUUUUUGGAAGCCAGAAGUGAAGCCUAAGGCAUGUCCAUGUCCCUGACCACAAGAUGUUCUUCACCAGGACCAAAAUUCCAAAACAUUUUAGAACAGGGGAAAGUAGAGGAGAAAGGACAACAAGAAUUUCCCACAGGACAAAAACUAACCUCUUUUUCCCACAGGACAAGCUCAAGACAUUUUGGCUGCAGUUCUCCUAUAGAACUACACCAGCCUGUGAUCACUUUGCAGGGACAGUUUCCCUCCCCAAGGAUAAACCUUCCAUUUUAAUCCUGAGCAGAAAAACUAUCUCUCUGUAAUAAACAUCUGGAAAACAAACCUUUGGCCUGUUUUCAUCAAAACUAUGUACUUUUAAAGCACAGUUACCAACAGGUUCUGCCAUAGAUAUCCUCAAACUUUUCUCCCCCAAAUUUGCCUCCAUUUGCAGUACCAUUUCUCUGCAGCAAAGUCCUUGUCUGAAGAACUUCCUCUGCUCUUCUGCAAAAACAUCUUGCUGCCUGUGCCCACUGUGUUGACACAGUAAUGAGAAGCCUGAGAAAGACCUACCCUGUAAUAAAACAUCAUUAAAUGGGAAUCUGAAAGUCUGGGAAAUCCUGAGGUUUCACUGUAAGACUGUGGAAGGCACAGACCUGAAGCAAGACAGAGUUUGCUAGAGCAGUGCAGAUGCUGACACAGCACAGGGGAGCUCAUCUGGCUGAUGUGACUGAAGGAGAAGGUUAUUUUCUCAGAUUAGCAUCUCACAGUUCUUAAGUGACAUGAAGGGAUGGUUUACAACAAGCACUGUACUUAAGUCUUGUAUGGCUUCUCUUGCUUUCUUUUGGGGUUUUCAUUCUUUUGCUGUUCUUACCAAGUUAACAAUUCAGUGAGUCACCCAUUUCUGAGCCUUCCCCUCCCCAGGUGCGAGAAGAGCAGGAAAGCCACCCAAAGUCUGGAUGGUGGAAGCAGAUCUAGUAACUCCCUGCAGCCAGACACGAUGGGUGGAGAUGUUCCUGCCUAAAAUGAGCUGGGGCUUCCACCCUUCUCCAGGCCAACAGAGAUGGCAGGACCUGACUGCAGCAGUCACCACAGGGAGCUGGCAGGCUCCAGCUCUUUGAAACCUCUUUGAUUCUUUCCAGGAAAGGCACAGAGGAAUUGCACUGUGUGUGCAUGGAAAUAUUUGUAUUGGCCAUUUCCGUGCUGCAGUGCCUGUUAGAAGGGUCUCCAAGAUCAGCACUCUCCUGCCUUUCUGAUUUUGCUUCACCCAGUCACUCAGAAGAUGCACAGGACCAGGGGCAGAAGGUGGCCUGGGAGGCAGUGUGGGGUGGAAGGAAGACACAGCCUGUGGCAGAAGCCCAGCCCAUCUCCUGCUGAUGUGUUUUCCCCCUCCAUGGAGCACAGGCAUGACACACAGUACAGAGGCAGCUCUGAGCCAGCCCUGAAUAAGCACAGUGGGGAAAACAGGAAAGGCAAGGAAUGCAGAACCAUAUUCUGCCUCUUCUGGGAAGCUCCUGGGAGAGAGGCAAACACAACUGGCUGAUCUUUGGGGAUCCACAGGGGUGGGAAAGAGAUGCUCUUUGCUGGAAAUGGACUCACUGCCCUGAGGUGCCAGGACCCCACAGCAUUCUGCCUUUCCCUUCCUCUCACACUGUUUGCCUUCAGUCCAGCUCCUGCACAGCAGAUCCAGCUUGCUUCACCUGUUCCCCUGCACUGGCAGGGGUCAUGCAGGUCAGCCCAGGGAGACAAAUACAUGCAGUGUGAACAACAUGCCUCCCCCCAGGACCCCAAUGAGUUAGCAAGACCCAUGUGUGCAGGACAAGUACAAACACUAUGUAUUUCAAGCUGCACUGACACAGGUUCUGCCCUGUAUCUAACCCCAGCAUAAGAAGGAGGUGGACCUGCUGGAGUUCCCACAGAAGGGUCACAGAGAUGCUCAGAAGGCUGGAGCCCCUCUCCUAUUAAGACAUGCUGAAGGAGUUGGGGUUGUUCAACCUGGAGAAGAGAAGGCACUGGGAAGAUCUUAAGAGCAUCUUCCAGCACCUGAAGAGAGCUGGAGAGGGACUUUUUACAAGGGCUGUAGUGGUAGGACAAGGGGAAUGUCCUCAUGGUGAAGGAGGGCAGGUUUAGAUAUUAGAUAUAAGGAAUAAAUUCUUCACUAUGAGGGCAUUGUGAGGCAUUGGCAAGUUUGUCCACAGAAGCUGUGGAUGACCCUUCCCUCCUUCCCUGGAAGUGUUUAGGAUCAGGCUGGACCAAGUUUUGAGCAACAUGGUCUAUUGGAAGGUGGCCCUGAGCAUGGUGGGAGCUGGAAUAAGAUGAUCUUUAAGGUUCCAUCCAACCCAAACCACUGUGUAGCUCUAUGACCUAUUGGUCAUGCACAUGAUCAGCAGUUGGUAUCAGCCUCCUUCAGUGGUGGACAUGUUAUCUACAGACCCUGAUUCUUGAAGCCUACACCCAUUUUUUCCAAAGACUACAGUGGUGUACUCAUAUUAGAUGGAAAUGCCUGUCUGGCCACAACCAAGGCUUUAGAGAGACUCACUGAAAUCUAAGAAAAAGGAUGGGAAGGAUUUCUGUCUCUGUACCUUAAACUCCAGGAAAAUUUUCAAAAUGUUUAAGCCCCAGAGUAUGUAAAGGCUUUUGGAAAUGUGUUGGAAGCUCCCAUGUCACUGACAUACUUUCAGGAGCUUUUUACUUUCAGUUAAGUGACAGUUCAUUUAAACUUUGAUGAAGAUGGGGAGCUGCUUAAUCCACUGUAGGUCUUCAUAGGAAAACCUAUGAAGAAGCAGCAAAUUCAAAUUUGAAAAUAGCAUUUUGUUCCAUUAUGAUGUUGACUAAAAACUAACUCUAAUCAGUGAUGGUAAACCUAUAGGUAAGAAAUUGGUGUGCUUAAAUUCCUAGUGUGUGACAUUUCUUAUCACAGCUGCCACUGCUUUUCCCACCUCUCAAGAGAGCCAGCAUGGCCUACUUCUUCCAUCACUGGAAAAAAUGUGUUUCCCCUGAAUCUAAACCUGCUUCUAUUUAUGGGUAUGAUGUUACAAGGUCAUAGUCAAAGCAUAGUUCUUAACAAUAAAAAGCAAAACAACCCUGAAACAAUAAUAAAGAGCAAAAUAAACAACAAAAAAAUUAUUGUGCCGUCAAAGAGCAUGUUUUCCUGGGGUUUGAUGUGGUUUUGUUAAACACAGACUUGUUGAGUCAUCAACAUUUUCUCCUUUAUAAUCACAGAGGAAAUCAAAUAUGUGCAGUGACUGUGGCAUCUUAUAUUACUGUACAUUUGUUUCAUAGCAAAUGUGAUUUUAGAAGAACAGAAAAUGAAAGUUUGAUGCAGUAUUUAAAUCUUAUUAGUCCUGCAUCUCCUCAGCCCACAGGAGGAUUGAUGCUGUAGGCGACAGCCUUCCUCUCCUGCUGUCUCUCAGUUUUGGUUUCUUGCCACAGGAGGCAAUUCUGUAUGGGUUAGUUUUAUUUAGACUACUCUGAUGGAAAUCAUCUGGGGUCCUCUGUACCUCUGUACCCCUGUGCCCAGCUCAGGCUUUACGAACACAAACACUCCCCCAAGCUCCCUGGUGUCCAUCCACAGUGGGCAGAUGUCACACCCUGCACAGGGUCACAGGACAGGGACACAUCCAACCUUUGUAGCUUUUACAAGUCCCUACUUCGGUUCAGAAACCCCAUAGCUGCUCCCUGCUCUCCUCUGAGGGAUCCGGGGCCCCGGCCAAGAUUUUCCCCAAGUUGUUUUUUUUUUUUUGGUUUUUUUUUUUUUUAUAUCUCGGUGCUGAUAUCUCCCUGGCUGGAAGGAAUCCUUUCCUCAAAGCAUUAAGCGAGGUGAGAAGAAAAAGUGAAACCUAAGCGCCUAGUGCUGCUCCCUGAGGAGCAAAGCCUGAACGUGCGUGCGUCCAUCCAUCCAUCCAUCCAUCCAUCCAUCCAUCCCCGCUAUGCUCACUCGGACCGCAUCACUGGAGCAGUGAAGCCGACCCGUUCCGGGGUUCGUGCCCGGUGCCAGGGAGUUUCGCGCACCCGCACGGAUGCCCCAGCCAGGGGACAGCGCUUCCCGCGAGCAUCCCGCAACGCAGCCCCUGCGGGGGCCGAGCAUCCCGCCGAGCUCUCCCGAGACACAGCGGCCCC
Molecule: long non-coding RNA, 8562 nt
Organism: Oenanthe melanoleuca
Lineage: Eukaryota; Metazoa; Chordata; Aves; Passeriformes; Muscicapidae
Exons: 2
Source: RefSeq, a predicted model, not a curated record